GGGCCCGCACAAGCGGUGGAGCAUGUGGUUUAAUUCGAAGCAACGCGAAGAACCUUACCAGGUCUUGACAUCCCAUUGACCACUGUAGAGAUACAGUUUUCCCUUCGGGGACAACGGUGACAGGUGGUGCAUGGUUGUCGUCAGCUCGUGUCGUGAGAUGUUGGGUUAAGUCCCGCAACGAGCGCAACCCUUAUUCUUAGUUGCCAUCAUUUAGUUGGGCACUCUAAGGAGACUGCCGGUGACAAACCGGAGGAAGGUGGGGAUGACGUCAAAUCAUCAUGCCCCUUAUGACCUGGGCUACACACGUGCUACAAUGGACGAUACAAACGGUUGCCAACCCGCGAGGGGGAGCUAAUCCGAUAAAAUCGUUCUCAGUUCGGAUUGUAGGCUGCAACUCGCCUACAUGAAGCCGGAAUCGCUAGUAAUCGUGGAUCAGCAUGCCACGGUGAAUACGUUCCCGGGCCUU
Molecule: ribosomal RNA, 466 nt
Filed under: uncultured bacterium
Lineage: Bacteria
Description: bacterial SSU rRNA
Rfam family: Bacterial small subunit ribosomal RNA
Source: RNAcentral